This 551-nucleotide ribosomal RNA is filed under the name Cyclestheria hislopi. Its description in RNAcentral is "eukaryotic LSU rRNA". It matches the Rfam family "Eukaryotic large subunit ribosomal RNA", at positions 127 to 563 of the family's 3401-position model. The record is from RNAcentral. Lineage: Eukaryota; Metazoa; Arthropoda; Branchiopoda; Diplostraca; Cyclestheriidae.
UGAUCUGGGGCCGAGGAAUGUGGUGUUUGGGAGGACCAUGACCGCCUGUCCGGCUUUCGUCCAAGUCUCCAUGAACGGGGCGAGCAACCCAGAGAGGGUGUCAGGCCCGUGGUAUUGGCGAGUCGCGACCGUGGUAGAGGUCUCUCCUUGGAGUCGGGUUGCUUGAGAGUGCAGCUCUAAGCGGGAGGUAAACUCCUUCUAAGGCUAAAUACGGCCACGAGACCGAUAGCGAACAAGUACCGCGAGGGAAAGUUGAAAAGAACUUUGAAGAGAGAGUUCAAGAGUGCGUGAAACCGUUCGGAGGGUAAAACGGGUGGGCGCUCGAAGAUCGAACGAUCCUUACUCCCGCCAUCUGCACGCCAGUCUCCCGCAGAUCCAUCAAGUGUGCCCACGCCUUCACGGGCGCGAGUUUGCCACUGGUCUGUGGGAGUUCACUGGCGGCCGUGCAGGGGCCGCAAGUUUGGGAUCCAGUAGGACUCCGCAACCGUCUGGAUAGACGUCAAAAGGAACCUUCUUGAGUUUUCCACGGCUUGUUGUCAUUCCGUUUUUAC